UACAGAGGUGGCAAGCGUUGUUCGGAAUUACUGGGCGUAAAGGGCGCGUAGGCGGCCUACUAAGUCAGACGUGAAAUCCCCGGGCUCAACCCGGGAACUGCGUCCGAUACUGGAAGGCUUGAAUCCGGGAGAGGGAUGCGGAAUUCCAGGUGUAGCGGUGAAAUGCGUAGAUAUCUGGAGGAACACCGGUGGCGAAGGCGGCAUCCUGGACCGGCAUUGACGCUGAGGCGCGAAAGCCAGGGGAGCAAACGGG
This 253-nucleotide ribosomal RNA is filed under the name uncultured bacterium. RNAcentral's name for it is "partial 16S ribosomal RNA". It matches the Rfam family "Bacterial small subunit ribosomal RNA", at positions 524 to 776 of the family's 1533-position model. The record is from RNAcentral.